This 75-nucleotide transfer RNA is filed under the name Pseudomonas amygdali pv. tabaci str. ATCC 11528. Its description in RNAcentral is "tRNA-OTHER". It matches the Rfam family "tRNA". From Rfam's summary of the family: Transfer RNA (tRNA) molecules are approximately 80 nucleotides in length. Their secondary structure includes four short double-helical elements and three loops (D, anti-codon, and T loops). The record is from RNAcentral. Lineage: Bacteria; Pseudomonadati; Pseudomonadota; Gammaproteobacteria; Pseudomonadales; Pseudomonadaceae.
CGCGGGAUGGAGCAGUCUGGUAGCUCGUCGGCUCAAUAACCGAGGUCGUCGGUUCAAAUCCGGCUCCCGCAACCA